Molecule: ribosomal RNA, 935 nt
Filed under: Fuscoporia gilva
Lineage: Eukaryota; Fungi; Basidiomycota; Agaricomycetes; Hymenochaetales; Hymenochaetaceae
Description: eukaryotic LSU rRNA
Rfam family: Eukaryotic large subunit ribosomal RNA
Source: RNAcentral
AUCAAUAAGCGGAGGAAAAGAAACUAACAAGGAUUCCCCUAGUAACUGCGAGUGAAGCGGGAAAAGCUCAAAUUUAAAAUCUGGUGGUUUUGCCAUCCGAGUUGUAAUCUGGAGAAGCGUUUUCUGUGCUGGACCGUGUACAAGUCUCUUGGAACAGAGCGUCAUAGAGGGUGAGAAUCCCGUCCAUGACACGGACACCCAGUGCUAUGUGAUACGUUUUCAAAGAGUCGAGUUGUUUGGGAAUGCAGCUCAAAAUGGGUGGUAAGCUCCAUCUAAAGCUAAAUAUUGGCGAGAGACCGAUAGCGAACAAGUACCGUGAGGGAAAGAUGAAAAGCACUUUGGAAAGAGAGUUAAACAGUACGUGAAAUUGUUGAAAGGGAAACGCUUGAAGUUAGUCGCGUCUUACUUGACUCAGCCUUGCUUCGGCUUGGUGUAUUUCAUGUGAGACGGGUCAACAUCGAUUUUGACCGGCAGACAAGGGGAGUAAGAAUGUGGCACUCUUCGGAGUGUGUUAUAGCUUAUUCUCAUAUGUGUCGGUUGGGAUCGAGGACCGCAGCGCGCCCUUGUGGCCGGAGGUUCGCCUCACGUUACGCGCUUAGGAUGUUGGCAUAAUGGCUUUAAGCGACCCGUCUUGAAACACGGACCAAGGAGUCUAACAUGCUCGCGAGUGUUAGGGUGGAAAACCCUUGCGCAGAAUGAAAGUAAAAGUUGGGAACCUCCGCAAGGGGGCGCACCGACGCCCGGCCCAGAAGUUUACGGACGGUGCUGCGGUAGAGCGCGUAUGUUGGGACCCGAAAGAUGGUGAACUAUGCCUGAAUAGGGCGAAGCCAGGGGAAACCCUGUGUGGAGGCUCGUAGCGAUUCUGACGUGCAAAUCGAUCGUCAAAUUUGGGUAUAGGGGCGAAAGACUAAUCGAACCAUCUAGUAGCUGGUUCC